Long non-coding RNA from Centrocercus urophasianus (Greater sage-grouse), 555 nucleotides. RefSeq lists it as uncharacterized. The transcript is spliced from 3 exons. NCBI's taxonomy places the organism in Eukaryota, Metazoa, Chordata, Aves, Galliformes, Phasianidae. The record is from RefSeq and is a predicted model, not a curated record.
GGGAAGUUACAGAGCUUUGUAGGUAGUGGGUAUUACUUUCAGAGGGAAACUUCACAGUAAGUAGAGUAGAAAUCUUCAGGAAUUCAUAGAGGGAGUUGAUCUCUAUCUAUUUUCCUACGGACAAGCAGAUUUUCCUGCGAGCCGUUUACAAAUGUCCCAAAAUGCCAUGCAAAAACAGAAGGAGAAAACAGAGCAGCAAAAUGCAGAAUUGUUAGAAGGGUAAGAAAAAGUUACGUCUAUCAACACUUCUGAUAACAUCUAAAAGAAGUCCAUAUGACAGGUGUCACAAGACAGAGUUAGACACUGGGAUGUCUUCAGCAAAACCAAGAAAGAGACUCACAAAUACUCUGAGUCCCAGAUGUGCAAGAUGUAGGUAAAAUUACUGCGCAAAAUAAAAUCAGCAUAUGUUUUGUGCAACGCCAACCAUGGGAGCCACGCAGUACAAAGUCAUCUUCUACUGCCCUCUCCUAAGAGCCCUCAAAAAACGAGAGCUAAAUGUGUGAGUACUAAAACCAAGAAAUCGACAGCCCUUGUACUGUGUAUUUAUGCUUCUUA